This is a long non-coding RNA of Eriocheir sinensis (Chinese mitten crab), 3835 nucleotides long. RefSeq lists it as uncharacterized. The record is from RefSeq and is a predicted model, not a curated record. The transcript is spliced from 2 exons. NCBI's taxonomy places the organism in Eukaryota, Metazoa, Arthropoda, Malacostraca, Decapoda, Varunidae.
UAGAGUUCAAAUAAUCAAAGAAUUUUACAUAGUUAGUAGAGUUAGGUGAGAGAUAAACAGCACAGAUGUAUUUAGUAAUAGAAUGACAAUGUAGUCUUAGCCAGAUGGUGGAAAAUUCAGAAGAGUCAAGGUCGUGGGCACGAGAACAAGUGAUGUCGUUGCGCACGUAGGCGCAACAUCCAGCUUUGAAUUGAAAUUUAGGAUAGAGAUAGUAGGAGGGAACAGAUUAGAGGUUGCUGUCAGUAGCCCCAGAAACCUGUGUUUCGGUGAGGAAGAGAAGGUGAGGUUUAGAGGAGGAGAGAUGGUGUUCCACAGAAUGAAAAUUAGAACGAAGACCGCGAAUGUUGCAGAAAUUGAUAAGGAGGAGGUUCGAGGAGUCAUCAGGACACCUCUCAUGUCGGCAGCCAGAAGGGGAGUCCUCCCUGGGGGAAUUUAUGGUCCCCCACCAGGCGGGGACUCCGAGGCUCUGUUGUUCAUCGCCAUUUUGAAUUGAAUUUUGGAAAAGGUGUGUGUGUUGUGUGAAUGUAGUGUGGUGUAGAAAGAGAGAGGAACUGUCUUCAGAGAGCAUGCUGAACUGCUCUCUGGUGUUGAUGAGACAAUAGGGAAACGGUUAGUGAGGACAUGGGAGGGUCUUUGAAGGGCUUCAGCACCCUCCUCGCUUCCCAUAUAUCCUCACCGUGAGUUGCUCACGCCCGUUCGGUAGGUGUCUUCCUACCUACUCCUACUAAAUUAUAUAUGAGUAAAUAAUUUGUCCCGAACGGAGAUGAUCUUUUUCUUCUUCUUCUUCUUCUUUUGACCUGUAACGUUUUGUGUCGCUUCUUAGGUCUUCCUUCUCAACCCUUCUAUACUUCACACCAUGCACUGAGUUACUUCACAGUGCACACUUAUACACUUCACCCUGAACCUAGGUGUUUUUCUGUUCUUUUCUUCCCCUGACUUUGCUUUUCUAUGCCCUUUUGUUAAUUUACACUAAUACAGAGGGGGGUUGUAGCAGCCCCCUCACUCAUAGCUGCCAGAUACCAGGUGACUGAGUUGCCUAGUAUCGAGAUGGAGGAUCGGCUUGUUGAAUAUAGUAAUUGUAAAGACAGCGUUAUGAAUGUCAAAAAGAGAUAUUUAGAAACGAUGACAACUCAAACUAAUAGGAGUACCCAGUUACGACUGUCAAUGUAUUUAUAUUUUUUUUGUGUGUGAAUAUUUUUCCCUCUCCUUAUACUAUAUUUUAUUUAUUUUAUCUUUUUUAUGUCUAAUUUGAUAAUGUUUAUAAAAUAUUAAUGUUGGAAAACCUUUAUUUAUCACUGAAUUUUUUUUUUUUUUACAAAGAUAUGCAUUAAAACAAAAUAAAACAAAAUAUUGGAGUGGGCGGGACACUCUCGGCCUUACUUGGGUGACUCAUAAAUUGAGCUGUCAGGCCUUCUCUAUAUAGAGACGGCAAUUUCUCGGUCCGACUACCAGGCCCCAAAAAGAAAAGCCGAUCGGCGCUAAAGGCGUAAAAAAAAUUAAAAAAAAUAAAAAAUCUGAUCUGACUUAUGGUAAAGUAGCAAGUUAGAGUUAGAACGUGGUCUAAUGUAAGGUUCAAUGGUCCAAGUGUCUUUCCUUGUUCUUGAGUUGGUUCUUACAGUUUCAGUCGAUUAUUCGAGUAGCAAGUUAUUUAUAUUUUCAGUCGUGCCGAAAAAGAAUCAGAAAGUAGUGUAAUGCAUGGUUUCAGGGUUCAGGUGUCACUCAUUCCUGGUUCUUCAGCUGGUUCUUGUAAUUUCAGUCCACAUGCAAGCAGUAGCAAUAAUUAAUCCCUUGGCUGUUGUUGUUGUUGUUGUUGUUGUUGUUGUUGUUGUUUUUGUUUUUAUUGUUGUUGUUGUUGAUGUGGCGGUGGUGGUUCCUUCUUUCAUCAACAGACCAGAAGCAAAGGGAAGCGCCAGGCACUCGAAUCACACUAUCUGAAGACUGUUAUGUCGUUGUCUGUUCCCACGAAAGGAAAAGAAAUUAGUGACUAUAUAAAUAUAAACUUUAAACCAAAACAUCUGGCCUUUGCAAUACACUUUUCUGAGCGAUUGUUUUAGGCGGUGUUGUACGUAUAUGAUUCAAAAGAGAUAGUUUGGUACGAGUUAGAAGAGACAGAAGAGACAGUUUGGUACGAGUUAGAAGAGACAGAAGAGGAUUUUUUUUUUUUCUACAACAAAGGAGACGGCUAAAGGGCAACAAAAAGUGUAGAAAAAAAAGCUACUAACCGCUCCCACAACAGACAAAAGUAAAGAGUGGCCAAAAGAGAAGUCAAUUUCAGGUGGAGAGGUGUCUUGAUACACUCUUCUUGAAAGAGGUCAAGUCAUAGGAAGGAGAAAAUGCAGACGAAGGAAGGCUGUUCCAGAGUUUACCAGUGUCAGGGAUAAAAGAGUGACGAUGCUGGUCAACGCUUGCUUAAGGGGUUUGGACAGUGUAGGGAUAAGCUAGAGUAGAAAGUCGAGUGCAGCGGGGCCGCGGGAGGGGGGAAGGCAUGCAGUUAGCAAGUUCAGAAGAGCAGUCAGCGUGAAAAUAUCGGUAGAAGAUAGAAAGAGGUAGAUGACUGUCGGUAAGAAGAAGGGAGUUGAUGAGACGAAGAGACUUUGACUCUACUCUGUCCAAGACACCUGUGUGAGUGGAGCUCCCCCACACAUGUGAUGCAUACUCCAUACAAGGGUGGACAAGGCCCCUAUAUAAAGACAGCAUUUGUGCGGGGGAGAAGAACUGGCGGAGACGAUACAGAACGCCCAACCUCGAGGAAGCUGAUUUAGUGAGAGAGGAGAUAUGGAGUUUCCAGUUGAGAUUUUGAGUUAAGGAUAGACCGAGUAUGUUUAGUGAAGGAGAAGGUGACAGCUGAGUGUUGUCGAAGAAUAGAGGAUAGGUGUUUGGAAGAUUGUGUCGAGUUGAUAGUGAAGAGAUUGAGUUUUUGAGGCGUUAAAGGACACCAGGUUCUUCUUGCCCCAAUCGGAAAUGAUAUUAAGGUCUGAGGUUAAGCCUUCUGCAACCUCCAGCCUGGAAUCGUAUAGUUCCUGUUGAGUUGGCCUCCUAUCAAAAAUAGAUGAUGAGUAAUGCAGAGUAUAGUCAUCGGCGUAAGAAUUGAUAGGACAGUUCAUUUUGGAAAGAUCAUCAAUGAACAAUAGAAAGAGAGUGGGAGAUAGAGCAAAGCCCUGAGGAGCACCACUGUUGAUAGGUUUAGGGGAAGAACAGUGACCGUCUACUACAGCAGUGAUAGCUCUGUCAGAGAGGAAAUUGGAGAUGAAGGUACAGAGAGAAGGAUAGAAACCGUAGGUGGAUUUGUGCCAGACCCUAUCAAAGACUUUUGAUAUGUCUAACGCAACAGCAAAAGUUUCACCAAAACGGCUAAGAGAGGAUGACCAAGAGUCAGUUAGGAAAGCAAGAAGAUCACCAGUAGAACGCCCCUUGCGGAACCCAUACUGACGAUCAGAAAGGUCAGAAGUGGAUAGAUGCUUAAGAAACUUCCGGACCAUCUAACUUUCGGUACAAGUUAGAUGAGACAGAGGAGACAGUGUGGUACGAGUUAGAAGAGAUAGAAGUGACAGUUUGUUACGAGUUAGAUGAGACAGAGGAGACAGUGUGGUACGAGUUAGAAGAGAUAGAAGUGACAGUUUGUUACGAGUUAGAUGAGACAGAGGAGACAGUGUGGUACGAGUUAGAAGAGAUAGAAGAGACAGUUUGGUACGAGUUAGAAGACAGAAGAGACAGUUUGGUACGAGUUAGAAGAGACAGAAGAGACAGUUUGGUACGAGUUAGAAGAGACAGAAGAGACAGUUUGGUACGAGUUAGAAGAGACAGAAGAGACAGUUUGGUACGAGUUAGAAGAGAC